RNAcentral lists this ribosomal RNA (253 nucleotides) under uncultured bacterium. Its description in RNAcentral is "partial 16S ribosomal RNA". It matches the Rfam family "Bacterial small subunit ribosomal RNA", at positions 524 to 776 of the family's 1533-position model. The record is from RNAcentral.
CACGAACCGUCCAAACGAUAUUCGGAAUUAUUGGGCUUAAAGGGUGCGUAGGCGGUGCUCUAAGUCGGGUGUGAAAUCCCUAGGCUCAACCGAGGAACUGCGCCCGAUACUGGAGUGCUAGAGGGAGACAGGGGUGAGCGGAACUGAUGGUGGAGCGGUGAAAUGCGUUGAUAUCAUCAGGAACACCGGUGGCGAAAGCGGCUCACUGGGUCUCAUCUGACGCUGAGGCACGAAAGCCAGGGUAGCGAACGGG